RNAcentral lists this ribosomal RNA (451 nucleotides) under Capoeta coadi. RNAcentral describes it as "partial 28S large subunit ribosomal RNA". The record is from RNAcentral. Lineage: Eukaryota; Metazoa; Chordata; Actinopteri; Cypriniformes; Cyprinidae.
UCACAGGGCAUGAAACCGUUAAGAGGUAAAUGGGUGGGGUCUGCACAGUCUGCCCGGAGGAUUCAAACCGGCGGGUCUGGUGGGGAUCGCGGAUCCCCUUGGGUGGGGACCGUCGCCUGGCAUCGGCAUCUCCGUCGAGCGCACUUCUUCCGAGGCGGAGAGCCGCGACCGGCUCCGGUUUGGCCAGGAAGGGUCGGGGGGUGAAGGUGGCCCCAGGGCUGUGGGCAGUGUCCUCGCGCCUUCUCUCCUCCUGCCGGGGGAGGGACGGGGCCCCUCGCUCCCGGURCGUGCGUCGACCGGGGCGGUCUGUCCUCAGUCCGUCUCCGACCGCUCCGUGCCAUAAGGGCGGGGAUCAGGCCCUCGUAAAGGGUGCUCGAGAUUGGUGGCGAGGUCGGCCACCCACCCACCCUACCCGUCUUGAAACACAGACCAAGGAGUCUAACACACUCGU